AUACUCUUGUUUCUCUUCAGCUUGCAUAAAUCGUUCACCUUUUACUAAAGAUUUCCAUGGAAAGAAACAAAGAAAGAAAGAGAAGUAUAAUUACCAUUUGGAGCUUUACAAGUCUAGCC
This 119-nucleotide small nuclear RNA is filed under the name Myotis davidii. RNAcentral's name for it is "U5 spliceosomal RNA". It matches the Rfam family "U5 spliceosomal RNA". Rfam says of the family: U5 RNA is a component of both types of known spliceosome. The precise function of this molecule is unknown, though it is known that the 5' loop is required for splice site selection and p220 binding, and that both the 3' stem-loop and the Sm site are important for Sm protein binding and cap methylation. Lineage: Eukaryota; Metazoa; Chordata; Mammalia; Chiroptera; Vespertilionidae. The record is from Rfam by way of RNAcentral.